RNAcentral lists this ribosomal RNA (220 nucleotides) under uncultured Entrophospora. RNAcentral describes it as "uncultured Claroideoglomus partial small subunit ribosomal RNA". It matches the Rfam family "Eukaryotic small subunit ribosomal RNA", at positions 665 to 864 of the family's 1831-position model. Lineage: Eukaryota; Fungi; Glomeromycota; Glomeromycetes; Entrophosporales; Entrophosporaceae. The record is from RNAcentral.
GGAUUGACACAUCGGUCGUGCCUUAAGGGGUAUGAACUGGUGUAGUCAGUUUCUCACCUUCUGGAGAACCGCGAUGUCCUUAAUUGGGUGCCGCGGGGAACCAGGACCUUUACUUUGAAAAAAUUAGAGUGUUUAAAGCAGGCAUACGCUUGAAUACAUUAGCAUGGAAUAAUGAAAUAGGACGUUUGAUUCUAUUUUGUUGGUUUCUAGGAUCGACGUA